This 301-nucleotide ribosomal RNA is filed under the name uncultured bacterium. RNAcentral's name for it is "partial 16S ribosomal RNA". It matches the Rfam family "Bacterial small subunit ribosomal RNA", at positions 509 to 807 of the family's 1533-position model. The record is from RNAcentral.
CAGUCGCCGCGGGAAUACGUAGGGUGCAAGCGUUAAUCGGAAUUACUGGGCGUAAAGCGUGCGCAGGCGGUUAUAUAAGACAGAUGUGAAAUCCCCGGGCUCAACCUGGGAACUGCAUUUGUGACUGUAUAGCUAGAGUACGGCAGAGGGGGAUGGAAUUCCGCGUGUAGCAGUGAAAUGCGUAGAUAUGCGGAGGAACACCGAUGGCGAAGGAAAUCCCCUGGGCCUGUACUGACGCUCAUGCACGAAAGCGUGGGGAGCAAACAGGAUUAGAUACCCCAGUAGUCCCUGUCUCUUAUAC